RNAcentral lists this ribosomal RNA (372 nucleotides) under uncultured cyanobacterium. RNAcentral's name for it is "partial 16S ribosomal RNA". It matches the Rfam family "Bacterial small subunit ribosomal RNA", at positions 348 to 739 of the family's 1533-position model. The record is from RNAcentral. Lineage: Bacteria; Bacillati; Cyanobacteriota.
CCCCCCGGGGGGAUUUUUGCGCAAUGGGCGAAAACCUGAUGGGGAAACACCGCGUGAGGGGGGGAAGGUCUUUGGAUUUUAAACCUCUUUUCUCAAGGAAGAAGUUCUGACGGUACCUGAGGAAUAAGCCUCGGCUAACUCCGUCCCCGCAGCCGCGGUAAGACGGGGGAGGCAAGCGUUACCCGGAAUUAUUGGGCGUAAAGCGUCCGCAGGUGGUCAGCCAAGUCUGCCGUCAAAUCAGGUUGCUUAACGACCUAAAGGCAGUGGAAACUGGCAGACUAGAGAGCAGUAGAAGANGCAGGAAUUCCCAGUGUAGCGGUGAAAUUGGUAUUGAAAAGAACCCCAUAGCGAAACGUGGGUACUGGGCCGAAC